GGGCGAGUAGCUCAGUCUGGUUUAGCAGCAGCCGGCUUUUACCGUUUCUAAGGAAGAUACCGGCAGGUCGUGGGUUCAAAUCCCUCCUCGCCCA
RNAcentral lists this transfer RNA (94 nucleotides) under Haloarcula vallismortis. RNAcentral describes it as "tRNA_Lys_TTT". It matches the Rfam family "tRNA". Rfam says of the family: Transfer RNA (tRNA) molecules are approximately 80 nucleotides in length. Their secondary structure includes four short double-helical elements and three loops (D, anti-codon, and T loops). Further hydrogen bonds mediate the characteristic L-shaped molecular structure. tRNAs have two regions of fundamental functional importance: the anti-codon, which is responsible for specific mRNA codon recognition, and the 3' end, to which the tRNAs corresponding amino acid is attached (by aminoacyl-tRNA synthetases). tRNAs cope with the degeneracy of the genetic code in two manners: having more than one tRNA (with a specific anti-codon) for a particular amino acid; and 'wobble' base-pairing, i.e. permitting non-standard base-pairing at the 3rd anti-codon position. Lineage: Archaea; Methanobacteriati; Methanobacteriota; Halobacteria; Halobacteriales; Haloarculaceae. The record is from RNAcentral.